RNAcentral lists this ribosomal RNA (396 nucleotides) under uncultured bacterium. RNAcentral's name for it is "partial 16S ribosomal RNA". It matches the Rfam family "Bacterial small subunit ribosomal RNA", at positions 523 to 918 of the family's 1533-position model. The record is from RNAcentral.
AUACGUAGGUGGCAAGCGUUGUCCGGAUUUACUGGGCGUAAAGGGAGCGUAGGUGGAUAUUUAAGUGGGAUGUGAAAUACUCGGGCUUAACCUGGGUGCUGCAUUCCAAACUGGAUAUCUAGAGUGCAGGAGAGGAAAGGAGAAUUCCUAGUGUAGCGGUGAAAUGCGUAGAGAUUAGGAAGAAUACCAGUGGCGAAGGCGCCUUUCUGGACUGUAACUGACACUGAGGAUCGAAAGGGUGGGGAGCAAACAGGAUUAGAUGCCCUGGUAGUCCACGCCGUAAACGAUGAAUACUAGGUGUAGGGGUUGUCAUGACCUCUGUGCCGCCGCUAACGCAUUAAGUAUUCCGCCUGGGGAGUACGGUCGCAAGAUUAAAACUCAAAUGAAUUGACGGGG